This 216-nucleotide ribosomal RNA is filed under the name Triticum aestivum (bread wheat). RNAcentral describes it as "partial small subunit ribosomal RNA". Lineage: Eukaryota; Viridiplantae; Streptophyta; Magnoliopsida; Poales; Poaceae. The record is from RNAcentral.
AAGAGCAACUAUUCAGACAAGCCACCUGACAUUCGUGAGAGCCUGUAGCCACUGCACCCUGAGCGUUAUCAGGUAGGCGCACAUCUUCCAUGAUAUGGAACUUGUCAGACGGAGCCCGUGCAGAAGUCGAGUUGGUCUGGCACUGCAAUGGUGUGUUCCUCUUGCACCCACCACUGUAAUCCUGGAGAUCCCAGUCAGUCUGAACCUUCUGGCUGA